CUACCCAAAAACAUUAGUACUUGUAUCACUUUUUUCUUUUUUAAUUGGAUCAGUUAUUUAUGUUACAAUUGUUUCAUUGAUUGGUACAUCGAUUAAGUUGAUAAGAAUGGACAUUGGGCCUAACUCAACCCUAAAAGCUAGCUUAUGAGGUAAGCAUUGCCCAAGCCAUAUAAGAAGAUCAAGAACCUCAAAUCCCUCCGAUGUGGAACAACUCAACAUCCCCUCUCACGCCCAGAUCUCUGGAGCGUGGACAACAUAAAUAGGUGCCCAACAUCGGUAGCAAUAAUUGGGAUGGGCCUGGCCUGAUACCAUGAUAAGAAUAGACAUUGGGUCAACUCAACCCCUAGCUUAUAAGGUGAGGAUUGCCCAGGCCAUAUAAGGAGACCAAUGACCUCAAAUCCCUCCGAUGUGGGACAACUCAACAUAAGUUUUUAUCAUUUCUUUUCUUGAUUUUUCUUUUUUGCUUUUAUUUUGUUUGUAUCCAUUGAAAAUUUGAAGCAUUAUAUUAACAAGCCCCGUUGUGCAUUAUUUGGUGUAUGGAAUACUAAUACUUCUGUUUGUUCCUUCAUCAGCAGCAAAUUA
This 582-nucleotide long non-coding RNA is filed under the name Nicotiana benthamiana. Its description in RNAcentral is "long non-coding RNA (NBEN_LNC033634)". The record is from RNAcentral. Lineage: Eukaryota; Viridiplantae; Streptophyta; Magnoliopsida; Solanales; Solanaceae.